This 921-nucleotide long non-coding RNA is filed under the name Monodelphis domestica (gray short-tailed opossum). Its description in RNAcentral is "lncRNA (ENSMODG00000030620.2)". The record is from RNAcentral. Lineage: Eukaryota; Metazoa; Chordata; Mammalia; Didelphimorphia; Didelphidae.
AUGCAGUACUUGUUUCAGGAAGAAGAUGAGCCUCUCCGUUUAGGACUAGGAUUAUGGACUCUUAGCAUGAGUGGAAUAGGUGUGGUGCCUUUUUCCAUGAAUCCUUAUAAAGGUGCUUGUCUCCAGCGUGACACCUUCAAUUCUGCUCCUUGCCAUGGCUGUUUUUGGUGGGACACAGUAAAUAAGACCUAGCACCAGCAGGAUAAUUUGGAGUUCAAAUGAUCAUCUGAGAAGCCUGAUCUGGAUUCCUUACAAGUCACAUUGUGAACCCUGCUUCAGCAGAGAAGCAGAAAUCGGAGGUAAUCUUUUAAACCUCAAUGACUAUAGAAGGAAGCUUUAUUUUUAAUCUAAACGUUUUAGAUGGAUUGAAAGUUUCCUAUUUCAAGUGCUUUAAAAUGCGAAUGUUGCUGAAGGAAUGGCAGCUAUGAAUUUAGUUGCAAAUGGCAAGUUUUUUUAAAGGAUAAAGAAUAUCUUUGCAUUAUGGUUUUACAUAGCAUAAUUUUGGCUUAUCUUUACUUCUGAAAUAUAUUAUUUUUCUAGGGAAGGACAUACAUUUCAAACAUCUCAUAAUAUUAAACAAUGUUGAAGUGGUGAUAGAUAGAAAAGAAGAUGGAACAUAGUUUGAUUUUCUGUGUCCUUGAGUCAAUGUCCUUGAGCUUGGAGUAUCAAACAGAAUACUUAAGUAUUUGAGAGAAAUUAAACUGUGUUUGGGGAUAAAAGUUGUGAAUACGAGCUUUGCCCUACUUGAAAAUAGAUUAUGCUUCAGAAGUUUGUGUGUAAAUUAGUUGUUUGAAUGGAACAACUUUUUAUCAUGGACCUAUUUUUUUGCAAGUUAAAGUUAGGUUCCUAGGCAGAGCCCACAACAAGCUAUUUAAUGAAUAAUCACCAUCUUUUCAAAAGCAAGGAACUAAAACAUUGUUG